AGAAAAUGACUGGGCAUAAGAAAGCGAAGAACAAAAAUCCUUUGAUAUACAACAUUAUUUUUAUCUAUAGAUUGAUAGACAUCUAACUAGUAACCACUACCCACUAAUAAGAUUCUUAAAAACAAAGCCCUCCAUUCAUCAAUGAUCGUCUGCAACCCUCCAUCAAAAGUAAAAGGCCAAGAUCUAUGUGACCAUCCAAAAACUCUCUGUCAUUAGAACAUACACAGCAGCUCUGUUUCCAACUCUUAUCUUCACAAACCUCCGCCACUUAUUAUCCAUUAUGCCAGAAGUACACUGUUACCACUUAUCACCAAUACAUUUUGAAACAACCACAACAUUGAUCAAAUAGGGAUAUGUUAAUGAGACAUCGAGCUUGCUCUGAUUAGCAUAAGAAAAUUUACAUGCUCUGGGGGAACAGGGAAUUUAAGAUCAACAUGGGAGCAUGGAGUAGGUUGGGUCCAAGGGGGAACUCCAACAUGUACAGCAUGGCUUUCAAGAGGGACAUGGGACAGAAAUCCAAAUACCCAAUAUUUGCAAGUCUGAAAAUGAUUGAUAUUUUAUUCAAUGGUUCUUAUUUCUAGUGUUUGCACACGAUAGUAUGCAACACCUUAUUACUAGAGUACAUGUAACCAACGUUUGAUCAACAACAACCACAGGAAGAGAGUUGGAAGUUGACAGGGGCCAUGUUGCACAUGUAUGGCAUCUGCAUCGCCAUCUUCAUCAUCUGCUGCUGCCCGAGUCCAGCACAAAUAACUUGUUGCAUGCUCUGCAUCAUCUGGCAACUGGUGCCACAGUGGCACUGAGGCAUCAUGCCUUGUAGCUGCAUGCAACAUUGCUGCUGCAGGAGCGCCAUUGGCUGCGACAUGAACAUGGCUGUGGAGCUACCCAUGCCCAACGUUUGCAUCAUGUACUGCCUACACGGAUCCAUGGUGCCCAUGGCUAAUGUUGGUGGGAAAUACUGCAUAGUGGUGAUUGCAGUAGUGGCACUUGCAGAAAGAGCAAUUAAGGCAAACAGGGCAAAGAUCUUGCUGGUGUAUGCUGCCAUUGCUGAUUCUACAAUACUAGUGUUAAACAAGAUUCCAGAUGGUGUAGACAAUAUUGUUGAGGAUGAUGGAAUAAUGGUUGCCUAGGGGCCUAUUUAUACAUGCUGGUAGCUGUGUAAGCCAGGAAAGAGUUUGGCCUUUGCAAAACCACCUAGUGGAGGCCACAUAAGCUGGAAAUCAUGAGGCAUGGAAUUUAUUUGGACAUUUAUUCAACCAAUACUUUUGGAAUAUCUACACAAAGAUAAUUCUGCCAGUGCUUUAAUGCGUGGAAAGAAAAUAUGAUGAUAAGGUUGUGCCAGAUUGCUUUGGCAUUUUGCAGUUUUGUAAAUUAUGAGCUGGACAAAGAAACUUUUGUGAACAGAAUUCGUAUGGGACUUGUAGAAUGUGUUACACAAGUCACAGCUUACACAGAUAACAAUUAAGAGUUUGAGUCAUCGCCAUAUGUGAAUGAUUGAGUAGGUAAACUUGGAGCUUUGUAAAUGUGCCUUAAUAGCAUACAUACAUAUGCAGUUUGGCAUGUAUUUGGAGUUUUGUUAAUAAGAAUUGGAAGUAAAGAACAUUGUUGUAAAGGGAAAGAAGUAAAGGAGAAACAAAUUUUGGGUCCAUCCCAAAAAAUAAAGCAAAGAUUAGAGUUUGGCCAUACUCUUUGCUAUCCUACUUUCCACAUAUCUAGUUCUUUAUCUUACAAAUAAAGAGAAACGAGGAAGUAAACAUAUUUCAUGUAAUCAUAUUAUGACAAGACACAUUUCUUAGGCAGGCACUACUGACACCAUGCAAGUAUGAAGUUGCAUUAUUUUCAAUUUUAACUGAUAUUAUAAUUAUCCAGUGCAGCGAUCACUGCAGGGUGAAUUGGGAUGGAGAACUAUGCAAUGUCCAUGUUCAGAAUCUUCAUGUUUUUAGUACUAGAGUAGUAGAGAUGUACCAAACGUGAUGUAUAGAUCUCAAAAUUUCCAUCCUGGAUUGAAGAAAGAUUCGACCCCAUUCCGAAGCCAUACAACAACUCACAAAUUGCAAUUGAGUUCAAUGUGGUCUGCCGGUCUAGAUGACUAGAUUGUGAUAAAUCUAGGGUUAAGGCUUCAUAGAAGAUAGAACUGAUUCAUAUGCUCAUGUGUAUGAGUAUUGUUCAUCGCUUGAGUAGAUAAGUUCAAGGACAAAUGAUUUUCACUGAACUUGGAUGGAGAAAACUGUUGCACAAGGUAAGAUCAAUAUAUUGCUGAAAUAGAAAAUAUCUAUCUGACAUGCUGCCAGGUACCAAUGUGCUAUGAAUAAACCAUCCUAGCUACUUAUCUUGCUAACAUAUUAUAUCACGAAUACCUUCAAUGUGAUCUCCCCUCAGCUAGAAUGAAGUUUUCUUUCACUGUCACGAAGUUACUCUACUAAUGAGAUGUAUAUGGUUGGCAAUUUGGCAUGCAUUUUCCAGUUUCACAACAACAUGUUCAUCAUAAUAUCAAGUGGCAUUAGUUAGAUCACUUUAUAUUUGCUGCAUUUGCCUCAUAAAAAUUGUAUUCCCAGAUCGUGAUCCCGUCUAGCUCUGAAAACGAGCUAACCGCUCAUCUGAACUUACUUGAUACUCGGAGGUAGACAUAAACCAAUCAGAUUCAAUUCGAGCAACCUAGUUCAGAAAACAGAGCAUCCAAACCAGAACGAGCAACGCGAUUUCAUGUUCUCCAACAAACGGUCACACGCGGAACCAAUCUCGUGCCAAUCCAACCGAGUUGAGCAAAAUCCACUGAAAUUGCACUGACUAAACCCCAUCUCACAAGCCAAAAACACACAGAGAACCGGCAGCAUCAGGGAUUCAAGCACCUCCUUCCGCUGACGACGCGACGAAUCUCUGUCCAGACCGUUCACUACAAGCAGAUCUAGCACGUUCGUGAUACGGAUCUCGCGGCGCAAGGGGAGAUGGAGGGGGGGGGGGGAGAGGGAGUAUACAGCGGGGUGGCCGAGUAGUAGACGACGUGGGGGCCGAAGGUGAGGGCGGCGCAGUUGAGGAAGUGGAACACCGUCAUCUCGUCCCCGCCGCCGCCGCCGCCGUCGUCGUCGUCUCCGGCGUCUGAGCAAGCAACGGCGAGGUCGGAUCGCCCGAGGUGCGCGACGACUUGGGCUGGACUGCUUGAGUGAUCGAGUCGCACCCCAUCGAGGCUAAGUAAAAGUAUCUCGGGCCACGUGGAUCAGUUAAUGGGCUUCGCAUAAUCACUCAUGGGCUUGGAGCGGGAGGAUGAUGGCCCAUAAAACAACAUCCCGCAAGUCGGUGACAGUACACCAUCCCGGCCCAACUAACAGGCCACUGUUAGUCGGUUAGGCUUAGGCAGCAACGUUGUUUGAUCCAGUGAUGGGUCACACUCCCACGUGGGAAUACAAGUGUAAAUAUUGAACAUAAAUCGAAACUUUAUUUCAUGAUUCUUAUUCUAGCCAGUCGCACACGAUAGUAUGCAACAAUUUACUGUUGGAGUACAUGUAACCAAGGUUUGGUUAACAACAACCAUAGGGAGAGAGCUGGAAGUAGGCAGGGGCCAUGCUACACAUGUUUGGAAGUUGCAUCGCCAU
RNAcentral lists this long non-coding RNA (3590 nucleotides) under Oryza sativa (Asian cultivated rice). Its description in RNAcentral is "long non-coding RNA (OSAT_LNC000650)". The record is from RNAcentral. Lineage: Eukaryota; Viridiplantae; Streptophyta; Magnoliopsida; Poales; Poaceae.